Transfer RNA from Camelus ferus (Wild Bactrian camel), 74 nucleotides. It matches the Rfam family "tRNA". From Rfam's summary of the family: Transfer RNA (tRNA) molecules are approximately 80 nucleotides in length. Lineage: Eukaryota; Metazoa; Chordata; Mammalia; Artiodactyla; Camelidae. The record is from Rfam.
GGCAGGGUACAGCUCAGUGGUAGAGCGUGUGCUUAGCAAGCACGAGGUCCUGGGUUCAAUCCCCAGCACCUCCA